Molecule: long non-coding RNA, 1774 nt
Organism: Nerophis ophidion (straightnose pipefish)
Lineage: Eukaryota; Metazoa; Chordata; Actinopteri; Syngnathiformes; Syngnathidae
Exons: 2
Source: RefSeq, a predicted model, not a curated record
GUGGAUGUGAUGCGUUCAAAGCCCCGGAGAGAAUAGCGACAGUGAUGGUGUUUUUGACCUCAAUGAGUUUCUAACAAAAGCCUGAGGCUGAGGUCUUGCUGAGGAGGAAACAGUCACCAAGUCUGCGAUGCCCCACCGCUAUCCAGCACCGCCGCUCCCUCGGGCGCGAAGAGGAAGAUGGUUCUUGAAGACCAGCUAAAAAUACCUGGCGGCUGGAUGAUUCGAUGAUGGCGGCGUCAGAGUUCACGCAGAGAAGGAACACGCCUUCAUUUGCAAUCAUUGCGAUGACGCCUUCUUUUAUCUGUUCUUAUAGGCAUGGCCAACCAGACGGACCUGUCAAGUCUAUCGGGUGUGUUACCCCCCCACCGCUUGACGAUUAAUGGAGGAGGGAGUCCCAGGUAUGUUCAAUCGCCUACUUAGUCGAUCGUUUGAAUGUGCUACUUUCUGUGCCGAUGACUUUGCCGCUGUCUCGGUCCAUGAUGUGAUUCUUUAUUUUGCAAUGAUCUGAUAUGGCUGAUUUGAAGACUCCCUGUUGGGAUUUUUGUUUUAGGCUUCUUGUAAACCUUCCAGGUGUCUCUUUUUCACAUUCUUUCUGGUUUUCUUAUAGGAUUUUCUGCAUGAUUUAAAUGGGAUUUUGUAAAUCAAUCAAUGUUUACUUAUAUAGCCCUAAAUCACUAGUGUCUCAAAGGGCUGCACAAACCACUACGACAUCCUCGGUAGGCCCACAUAAGGGCAAGGAAAACUCACACCCAGUGGGACGUCGGUGACAAUGAUGACUAUGAGAACCUUGGAGAGGAGGAAAGCAAUGGAUGUCGAGCGGGUCUAACAUGAUAUUGUGAAAGUUCAAUCCAUAAUGGAUCCAACACAGUCGCGAGAGUCCAGUCCAAAGCGAAUCCAACACAGCAGCGAGAGUCCCGUUCACAGCGGAGCCAGCAGGAAACCAUCCCAAGUGGAGGCGGCUCAGCAGCGCAGAGAUGUCCCCAGCCGAUACACAGGCAAGCAGUACAUGGCCACCGGAUCGACUUUGCAUUUCUUGUCUUGUUCUAUUUGGACUUUUGAAUGUACAAGAGAGUGUCUUGUUUUUGUGUGAGGUUGAACUCUUGUGUUUAUUUGGUGUUUCUUGAUGACCCGCUGUAUUGGUUCACUUAUUCUAAUUUAUGUUAAGGUUAUAACCUCAUUGUUAUUUAUUUCAGCUUUUUCUUUUUGAGUUUCUUCUUUGUUCUCUUUGCCUUGUUUUUGUCAGGCUUUUCCCUGACAGUUUGUCUAUGUUUUAGUUUUUUCCUCUGCAUUUGUCUGUUUCCUCUGUGUUUAGUAUCUCCUGCCUUUAGUUCCUGUCUAGUGCUCUUAUUUUGUCAGCUUCCUGUCUUGUUCCCUGAGUGCUGUGUUCCUCCUCAGCUGCGGCUGAUUGGCACCUGGCCACACCUGUUGCCAAUCAGCCUGCUCCUAUUUGUAUUGUCAUUUGUAUUGUCAUUGCCUCAUGUCACUCUUGUGUCUUUGCUACCUGUCGUGUCUGGCAUCAUUUCAGCUAUUACCUGUCGUGCUACAUCUUGUCCUGGUCGUCGUAGCGGUAAGCUGUUUUUGUUAGCAUUAGCCAUUUCCAGUUUUUCCUGUUGGCUACCCGCUAGCUUCCACGCUAGGUCCUUUUUUGUUUCUUGCUAACUUCUAUGCUAAAGACCCUUAGUUUGUUUUUCCGCCCAUGUGUCCGCUUUUUGUUUGUACCCUUUGUUUGCUCUAGUUCUAGUAUUUUAAAUUAAAACCAUGUUUUCCCAUGCAA